RNAcentral lists this long non-coding RNA (489 nucleotides) under Apteryx rowi (Okarito brown kiwi). RNAcentral's name for it is "lncRNA (ENSARWG00000008303.1)". The record is from RNAcentral. Lineage: Eukaryota; Metazoa; Chordata; Aves; Apterygiformes; Apterygidae.
GCAAAGCUUAGCUUCAUGCUGCUUGGGCUUGACACUGACCCAGAAGAACCAAGAAAGCAGAAGACAGGACUGAAACUGCUCAUUCUUUGGUGCCAGAUCACAGCAGGAUACAAGAUACCUGAGGACUAUCUUUUGUUUGCAGACUGCUGCAAGACAGAGGCACAAUCAUCUAUUGUCGGAGCCAGACAAGGGGGAAGAGGAGAGGAGUGCUGCUGAAAUGUGACUGGCAGAAAAGGCGAGUGUUGAGUUUUUAUUAAUGUGCAUGGUUCAAGUUUCAGAAGAAUCAGUGCAGUUGUUGGCAGAAAAUGACCAAUAUUCAAGGGGUUUAAUGCGCUUUGUAAAGUUAAAAGCAGUCAAAGUAGAAAAAACCCCAUAGGAAUAUUGCAGGGGAGGUCAAAGAAUGGGAUAAAUCUGGCUUCCCAUGUGGAGGUGUAAUUUUAUUACCUGUUUGCAGAAAUAAAUGAAUUUAUCACAUGGAUGUGAUUACCA